AUUGAACGCUGGCGGCAGGCCUAACACAUGCAAGUCGAGCGCGAAAGGUUCUUCGGGACUGAGUAGAGCGGCGGACGGGUGAGUAACGCGUAGGAAUCUACCCAGUGGUGGGGGACAACUUGGGGAAACUCAAGCUAAUACCGCAUACGCCCUACGGGGGAAAGCGGGGGACCUUCGGGCCUCGCGCCAUUGGAUGAGCCUGCGUUGGACUAGCUAGUUGGUGGGGUAAAGGCCCACCAAGGCGACGAUCCAUAGCUGGUCUGAGAGGAUGAUCAGCCACACUGGGACUGAGACACGGCCCAGACUCCUACGGGAGGCAGCAGUGGGGAAUAUUGCGCAAUGGGCGAAAGCCUGACGCAGCCAUGCCGCGUGUGUGAAGAAGGCCUUAGGGUUGUAAAGCACUUUCAAUUGGGAAGAAAAGUUCACGGUUAAUACCCGUGAGCCCUGACAUUACCUUUAGAAGAAGCACCGGCUAACUCCGUG
This 483-nucleotide ribosomal RNA is filed under the name uncultured Gammaproteobacteria bacterium. RNAcentral describes it as "bacterial SSU rRNA". It matches the Rfam family "Bacterial small subunit ribosomal RNA", at positions 30 to 507 of the family's 1533-position model. The record is from RNAcentral. Lineage: Bacteria; Pseudomonadati; Pseudomonadota; Gammaproteobacteria.